GAUGAACGCGGGCGGCGUGCCUAACACAUGCAAGUCGAACGAAGCUAUGAGACGGAAGCUUUCGGGUGGAAGACUAAUAGACUGAGUGGCGGACGGGUGAGUAACGCGUGGGCAACCUGCCCCAUACCGGGGGAUAGCAGUUGGAAACGACUGGUAAAACCGCAUAAGCGCACGGUAAGGCAUCUUACAGUGUGAAAAACUCCGGUGGUAUGGGAUGGGCCCGCGUCUGAUUAGCCAGUUGGUGAGGUAACGGCUCACCAAAGCGACGAUCAGUAGCCGGCCUGAGAGGGCGGACGGCCACAUUGGGACUGAGACACGGCCCAGACUCCUACGGGAGGCAGCAGUGGGGGAUAUUGCACAAUGGAGGAAACUCUGAUGCAGCGACGCCGCGUGAGUGAAGAAGUAUUUCGGUAUGUAAAGCUCUAUCAGCAGGGAAGAAAGGCUCGCAAGAGAGAUGACGGUACCUGAGUAAGAAGCUCCGGCUAAAUACGUGCCAGCAGCCGCGGUAAUACGUAUGGAGCAAGCGUUAUCCGGAUUUACUGGGUGUAAAGGGAGCGCAGACGGAUAUGCAAGUCUGAAGUGAAACCCCACGGCUCAACCGUGGGCUUGCUUUGGAAACUGUAGAUCUAGAGUACUGGAGAGGUAAGCGGAAUUCCUGGUGUAGCGGUGAAAUGCGUAGAUAUCAGGAAGAACAUCGGCGGCGAAGGCGGCUUACUGGACAGCAACUGACGUUGAGGCUCGAAGGCGUGGGGAGCAAACAGG
Molecule: ribosomal RNA, 762 nt
Filed under: uncultured Butyrivibrio sp.
Lineage: Bacteria; Bacillati; Bacillota; Clostridia; Lachnospirales; Lachnospiraceae
Description: bacterial SSU rRNA
Rfam family: Bacterial small subunit ribosomal RNA
Source: RNAcentral